This 497-nucleotide ribosomal RNA is filed under the name uncultured bacterium. RNAcentral's name for it is "partial 16S ribosomal RNA". It matches the Rfam family "Bacterial small subunit ribosomal RNA", at positions 28 to 507 of the family's 1533-position model. The record is from RNAcentral.
GAUGAACGCUGGCGGCGUGCCUAAUACAUGCAAGUCGAGCGAACAGACGAGGAGCUUGCUCCUCUGACGUUAGCGGCGGACGGGUGAGUAACACGUGGAUAACCUACCUAUAAGACUGGGAUAACUUCGGGAAACCGGAGCUAAUACCGGAUAAUAUAUUGAACCGCAUGGUUCAAUAGUGAAAGACGGUUUUGCUGUCACUUAUAGAUGGAUCCGCGCCGCAUUAGCUAGUUGGUAAGGUAACGGCUUACCAAGGCGACGAUGCGUAGCCGACCUGAGAGGGUGAUCGGCCACACUGGAACUGAGACACGGUCCAGACUCCUACGGGAGGCAGCAGUGGGGAAUCUUCCGCAAUGGGCGCAAGCCUGACGGAGCAACACCGCGUGAGUGAUGAAGGUCUUCGGAUCGUAAAACUCUGUUAUUAGGGAAGAAAAAAUGUGUAAGAAACUAUGCACGUCUUGACGGUACCUAAACAGAAAGCCACGGCUAACUACGUG